UUGGGGGACCACGAACCAGAAGGGGUGACUUUCUACCAGGCUUCCUGGCUACCUCCCUUCCUCAGCUUCUCAGCUCCAACUGUGGAGACAGGCUGUCUGUGAGACAGAUGGAAUCUGGACUUCACAUUCUCGGGCAUUGUGUUGGUGAUAAGAUUCCCUACCCAGCCAAGAUCUCUGAAAUCAGCCAUUCUGAACCUUCACAGAAUCCUGUAGCUCACGUACUUCUGCUCUUGCCUGGGCUUUUGCACCCCUCUCACGUCCCGCCCCACUCCACCCUCUUUGCCUUGGUUUCAGAGCUGAAACACGUUUUGGGGGCUAAGCCUUCUCCAAGGUUGGUUUGCCUAGGUCUGGUUUGUUCCUGGCGAGGCUGAGGUAGUGCACACAGGCAGAAGUGGGAAGGAGAAGGCCACCGGGUGCAGACUGGCAGACGUAAUCUGCUUCUACUUCCCAGGCUCCAGUAGGCCUCUGUUCUAAAUGCUGGUGACACAUCUGGACUUCUUCACUCCUCCCUUCCCAUGUCAAGGCUUCAGGUUAACGAACACCAGCUGUACAGGAAGUCCUGCACUAAGCUCUUGGACUGAGAGGCACCAGCAUCCUGGAGGCCAACCGCAAGGUCGCUCUUUAAACAAGAAGAUAACAACUCAAAACAGCUCCAGGAAGUCCCUGAAACAGACCAGAUUCACAGGCCCUUCCCUGCCAGAAUGAAGUUUAAAAGCUCAAAGUUACUCUCAGACUGACAGAAGCUGAGCUAACAAAGAAGACUCUGAGACCAGACCAGCUGCCUGGAAGAAGCAGAAACCAACUGAGCUGCCUAGACCAGGCUUAGAUCAGUUACUUGGAAAGGACACUUCGACUUGUUGAGUUAUCUGCAGGCUGUUCAGUGUGCUUCAUGUUUCUAGCUUUUGUGAACUGUCACCUGUGCUAGGAUGAGCUUUGAUGAUGCAGCUGUCUUUGAGUCAUGUCUCCUCCUGUAAGUAACCCCAAUAACACUUAUUGGUUUACCAA
Mus musculus (house mouse) is the source of this 1005-nucleotide long non-coding RNA. RefSeq annotates it as predicted gene, 35260. The record is from RefSeq and is a predicted model, not a curated record. The transcript is spliced from 2 exons. Lineage: Eukaryota; Metazoa; Chordata; Mammalia; Rodentia; Muridae.